UUUCUAAAGUGACCCUUCCAUACCUGGGUUUCCGAAUUUUUGUACAAGUUAUCUCACCAUAAGGCUACACUGAUUGUUCAUCAGAAAGCCUCUGUGUUAUAUAGGAGUUUCCAUCAUGCGUGUAUGAACAAGUUUUGUCGCAUUAUACUUUUUGUAUAAACAACUAUACUUCUCAGCCACUUGAGAGAAACCCCUGAUGAAGUCUUUUGUAUAAGACGAAACGUGUUGGGUUGUCUGUGUUGUGAAGCUAUCUCCGAACCAACUGUAAGGAGAAGGAGGAGAUUGUUGUGAACCUUCAACAUUUUGUAUUCAGUGCUAAGAGUCAUACAUCCUAAAGUGUGGAAUAAUAAUAUUUCUCCUCUGUAUUGAUUUGAAUAUGCUUUUAAUAAAUGUUUUACGAUGGAACAUGUUAUUAUUUUAUGUUAAAAAGAGUGACAACCAAUUUAGGGUUGGAAUAGUGGGAGUUAAUGUGACUCCUUGGCGCCAAUUCUUCUAUUGUUGCAUAAAUAUAUAUAUAUAUAUAUAUAUAUAUAUA
This is a long non-coding RNA of Pseudophryne corroboree (corroboree frog), 535 nucleotides long. RefSeq lists it as uncharacterized. The record is from RefSeq and is a predicted model, not a curated record. NCBI's taxonomy places the organism in Eukaryota, Metazoa, Chordata, Amphibia, Anura, Myobatrachidae. The transcript has 3 exons.